This 2399-nucleotide ribosomal RNA is filed under the name human gut metagenome. RNAcentral describes it as "bacterial LSU rRNA". It matches the Rfam family "Bacterial large subunit ribosomal RNA", at positions 3 to 2495 of the family's 2925-position model. The record is from RNAcentral.
UCAAGCUAAAAAGGGCGCAAGGGGGAUGCCUUGGCAUUGGUAGCCGAUGAAGGACGUAGCGAUCUACGAUAAGCCACGGGAAGUCGAAAGCAGGCAAUGAUCCGUGGAUUUCCGAAUGGGGAAACCCGGCAGAGCAAUACUCUGUCAACUCCUUGUGAAUAAAAUAGCAUUGAGUAGGGAACCUCCUGAACUGAAACAUCUAAGUAGGGAGAGGAAAAGAAAUCAACCGAGAUUCCGCUAGUAGUGGCGAGCGAACGCGGAAGAGGCCAAACCAAGAGUAGUAAUACUUUUGGGGUUCGGACUGAGCACGGUAUUGACAAGAGUUAGUAGAAUGGAAUGGGAAGUUCAACCAUAGAGUGUGAGAGUCACGUAUACGAAAACUUGAGUCAGCCAUCAGUAUCCAGAGUACCGCCGGACACGUGAAACCCGGUGGGAAUACGGGGGGACCACCCUCCAAGCCUAAAUACUCACCAAUGACCGAUAGUGUAUAGUACUGUGAAGGAAAGGUGAAAAGAACCCCUGGCGGGGAGUGAAAAAGAACCUGAAACCUUGUGCCUACAAGCACAUAGAGCACAUCAACGUGUGAUAUGGUACCUUUUGUAGAAUGGUCCGGCGAGUGAAUGUCACUAGCGAGGUUAAGAACUUAAGGUUUGCAGCCGAAGCGAAAGCGAGUCUUAAUAGGGCGAGUUUAGUUAGUGGUAUUCGACCCGAAACCGAGUGACCUAGCCAUGAGCAGGCUGAAGUGGAGGUAAAACUCCAUGGAGGGCCGAACCCACUCCCGUUGAAAUGGUAGGGGAUGACUUGUGGCUAGCGGAGAAAUUCCAAUCGAACUCGGAGAUAGCUGGUUCUCUCCGAAAUAGCUUUAGGGCUAGCCUCAAUUAACAUUACCGCAGGUAAAGCACUGAAUGGGCUAGGGGGCGAAAGCUUACUGAACCCUAUCAAACUCAGAAUGGCGGAUAAUGAAUAAUUGGGAGUCACACUACGUGAGAUAAGUUUCGUGGUGGAAAGGGAAACAGCCCAGACCCACAGCUAAGGUCCCAAAGUACAGUUAAGUGGAAAAGGAUGUGAAGUUGCGCAGACAACCAGGAUGUUGGCUCAGAAGCAGCCACUCAUUCAAAGAGUGCGUAAUAGCUCACUGGUCGAGCGUCUCUGCGCGGAGAAUUUAACGGGGCUAAACCUGACACCGAAGCUUAGGCAAUGUAGUAAUACAUUGGGUAGGGGAGCGUUGUAUACGCGGUGAAACAGUAGCGCAAGCGGCUGUGGAGUGUAUAGAAGUGAGAAUGCCGGAAUGAGUAGCGCGAAUGCAGUGAGAAUCUGCAUGGCCGAAAGCCUCAGGUUUCUGGAGGAAGGUUCGUCCGCUCCAGGUUAGUCGGGAGCUAAGGUGAGGCCUAACGGCGUAGCCGAUGCACAGACGGUAGAGAUUCCGUCACCACCAAAAGAGUUAAGCACAGGGACACAUUUGAAGUCUCGGAGCCGGGUGUUGGUUCCGGUAGCGAUCGAGGGAAGUUAGUACCGAAGUCCGGGAUGGAAGAUGGCGAGAAAAGCUGUGUGUAUUUCUGCGGUGCCCGUACCGCAAACCGACACAGGUAGGUAGGAAGAAGAUUCUAAGGCCAACGGGAGAAGGGUUGUUAAGGAACUCGGCAAAUUGACCCCGUAACUUCGGGAGAAGGGGUGCUCCAGCGAUGGAGCCGCAGAGAAUCGGCCCAAGCAACUGUUUACCAAAAACACAGGUUUGUGCUAAAUCGAAAGAUGACGUAUACGAGCUGACGCCUGCCCGGUGCUGGAAGGUUAAGAGGAGAUGUGCAAGCAUUGAAUCGAAGCCCCAGUGAACGGCGGCCGUAACUAUAACGGUCCUAAGGUAGCGAAAUUCCUUGUCAGGUAAGUUCUGACCCGCACGAAAGGCGUAACGAUUUGGGCGCUGUCUCAGCUGUAGACUCGGUGAAGUCUUAGUACCUGUGAAGAUGCAGGUUACCCGCGACUAGACGGAAAGACCCCAUGGAGCUUCACUGCAGGUUGAUAUUGGGAUUUGAUGCAGCAUGUACAGGAUAGGUAGGAGGCAAAGAGAUGGAUACGCCAGUAUUCAAGGAGCCGCUGUUGGGAUACUACCCCUGUUGUAUUGGAUUUCUAACCGGACGACGUAGAGCCGUUGACGGGACAGUGUCAGUCGGGCAGUUUGACUGGGGCGGUCGCCUCCCAAAGAGUAACGGAGGCGCCCAAAGAUACCCUCAGCUUGGAUGGAAACCAAGCGCAGAGUGCAAAGGCAAAAGGGUGUUUGACUGCGAGACCCACAAGUCGAGCAGGGACGAAAGUCGGGCUUAGUGAUCCGGCGGUGCUGAAUGGAAAGGCCGUCGCUCAACGGAUAAAAGCUACCCUGGGGAUAACAGGCUGAUCUCCCCCAA